This is a long non-coding RNA of Onychostruthus taczanowskii (white-rumped snowfinch), 271 nucleotides long. RefSeq lists it as uncharacterized. The transcript has 3 exons. The record is from RefSeq and is a predicted model, not a curated record. NCBI's taxonomy places the organism in Eukaryota, Metazoa, Chordata, Aves, Passeriformes, Passeridae.
GAACAUCAAAAUAUUCAAAAUGAGUGAAGUCAAAUGGGUUUAUGAAAGAAAUCAGCUGCCUAUUGCCAGUGCAAUAAUAAUAAUCUCUUCUUUUCUGCCUUGUUGACAGAUCGGGAGAACCAGUCCAUCCUGAUCACCGGAGAAUCCGGGGCCGGGAAGACUGUGAACACCAAGCGUGUCAUCCAGUACUUUGCAACAAUUGCAGCCAGUGGGGACAAGAAGAAGGAGGAGAAAUCAUCAGGCAAAAUGCAGGGAACGCUUGAGGAUCAAA